AUCGAACGCUGGCGGCAGGCCUAACACAUGCAAGUCGAGCGGAGCGGCGGACGGGCGAGUAAUGCCUAGGUAUCUGCCUGGCAGUGGGGGAUAACGUACGGAAACGGGCGCUUAUCUCGUAUACUAUCAGAUGAGCUUUGGUCGGAUUAGCUAGUUGGUGGGGUAAAGGCUCACCAAGGCGACGACCCGUACCUGGUCGGAGAGGAGGAUCAGUCACACUGGAACUGAGACACGGUCCAGACUCCUCCGGGAGGAAGCAGUGGGGAAUAUUGGACAAUGGGCGAAAGCCUGAUGCAGCCAUGCCGGGUGUGUGAAGAAGGUCUUCGGAUGGUAAAGCACUUUAAGUUAGGAGGCGUUACCAACAGAAUAAGCACCGGCUAACUACGUGCCAGCAGCCGCGGUAAUAC
Molecule: ribosomal RNA, 407 nt
Filed under: uncultured bacterium
Lineage: Bacteria
Description: partial 16S ribosomal RNA
Rfam family: Bacterial small subunit ribosomal RNA
Source: RNAcentral